RNAcentral lists this small RNA (17 nucleotides) under Arabidopsis thaliana (thale cress). RNAcentral's name for it is "ATSL249670". The record is from RNAcentral. Lineage: Eukaryota; Viridiplantae; Streptophyta; Magnoliopsida; Brassicales; Brassicaceae.
AAAGACAUAACCAAAAC